This 913-nucleotide ribosomal RNA is filed under the name Pectobacterium brasiliense. RNAcentral describes it as "bacterial SSU rRNA". It matches the Rfam family "Bacterial small subunit ribosomal RNA", at positions 34 to 936 of the family's 1533-position model. The record is from RNAcentral. Lineage: Bacteria; Pseudomonadati; Pseudomonadota; Gammaproteobacteria; Enterobacterales; Pectobacteriaceae.
CGAUGUAGCGCUAGAUACACAUGCAGUCGAGCGGUAGCACAGAAGAGCUUGCUCUGUUGGGUGACGAGCGGCGGACGGGUGAGUAAUGUCUGGGAAACUGCCUGAUGGAGGGGGAUAACUACUGGAAACGGUAGCUAAUACCGCAUAACCUCGCAAGAGCAAAGAGGGGGACCUUCAGGCCUCUCGCCAUCAGAUGUGCCCAGAUGGGAUUAGCUAGUAGGUGAGGUAAUGGCUCACCUAGGCGACGAUCCCUAGCUGGUCUGAGAGGAUGACCAGCCACACUGGAACUGAGACACGGUCCAGACUCCUACGGGAGGCAGCAGUGGGGAAUAUUGCACAAUGGGCGCAAGCCUGAUGCAGCCAUGCCGCGUGUGUGAAGAAGGCCUUCGGGUUGUAAAGCACUUUCAGCGGGGAGGAAGGCGGUAAGGUUAAUAACCUUAUCGAUUGACGUUACCCGCAGAAGAAGCACCGGCUAACUCCGUGCCAGCAGCCGCGGUAAUACGGAGGGUGCAAGCGUUAAUCGGAAUGACUGGGCGUAAAGCGCACGCAGGCGGUCUGUUAAGUUGGAUGUGAAAUCCCCGGGCUUAACCUGGGAACUGCAUUCAAAACUGAGAGGCUAGAGUCUUGUAGAGGGGGGUAGAAUUCCAGGUGUAGCGGUGAAAUGCGUAGAGAUCUGGAGGAAUACCGGUGGCGAAGGCGGCCCCCUGGACAAAGACUGAUCGCUCAGGUGCGAAAGCGUGGGGAGCAAACAGGAUUAGAUACCCUGGUAGUCCACGCUGUAAACGAUGUCGAUUUGGAGGUUGUGCCCUUGAGGCGUGGCUUCCGGAGCUAACGCGUUAAAUCGACCGCCUGGGGAGUACGGCCGCAAGGUUAAAACUCAAAUGAAUUGACGGGGGCCCGCACAAGCGGUGGA